Molecule: long non-coding RNA, 361 nt
Organism: Apodemus sylvaticus (European woodmouse)
Lineage: Eukaryota; Metazoa; Chordata; Mammalia; Rodentia; Muridae
Exons: 2
Source: RefSeq, a predicted model, not a curated record
AACAUAUCCUUUGAUCUUGUUCUGUGUGAUUGCAGAAGGCAAAUGGACUGCAGCCACCGUUAUUCUGGUAAAAUAAAAACACAGUCAAAAGGUGGAGGAGGGGUUCAAUCAGAGCGCUAACACUGGAUGGCAUUGCUCAGAGCAUCAAGGAUCUGAGGCUCAGGAGAUGGUGCUCCUUAGAGAAGGUCCGAGUCUUCCAGCUUCCUGCUGCGGUUCCCUGUCCAGUCCCUAAUGACUUUGGAGUUGAACUAUGCUAAUUCCUGAACAAACGCUUCCAAGAGGGCAGCAAAUAGCCUCUGGGCCUCCUGGGCAACUGUGUUCUGAGUCUUUGGCCAAAAUAACAUAGAAGAACUGCUAUCAA